This 125-nucleotide small RNA is filed under the name Marmota monax (woodchuck). The record is from RNAcentral. Lineage: Eukaryota; Metazoa; Chordata; Mammalia; Rodentia; Sciuridae.
GCAGGGCACGGUGGCACAUGCCUGUAAUCCCAGCAGCUCAGGAGGCUGAGGCAGGGGGAUCAUGGGUUCAAAGCCAGCCUUGGUAACAGCGAAGUGCUAAGCAACUCAGUGAGACCCUGUUUCUA